This 1007-nucleotide ribosomal RNA is filed under the name Calisoga cf. theveneti DHL-2015. RNAcentral describes it as "partial 12S ribosomal RNA". The record is from RNAcentral. Lineage: Eukaryota; Metazoa; Arthropoda; Arachnida; Araneae; Nemesiidae.
AUCAACCUAUCCUAUUUGGCGGCCUUCGAUCUUAUUAGAGGAACUUGUUGUUUAACCGAUGAUACGCGAUAUUUUUAACUCAAACCUAAUUUUUAUACCUCCGUCCAAAGGGUAAAAUUAAAUAUUUUAUCCAUUCCUUACCACACCAAGCAACCAUGUCAGGUCAAGGUGAAGUUAAUGUCUGAGUUUCAAUGAGUUAUCAAUAAAUAUAAUUUAUGGACUUUUAUUUAAAACUAAAAUCGAAUUAAGAUUUAAAAGUAUUUCCAAUUCAAUUCAUUGGAAAGAAUCAGCAAAAAAGGUGUACAUAUCGCCCGUCGCCCUCGUCCAAAGAUGAGGUAAGUCGUAACACAGUUAAUGUACUGGAAAGUGUAUUAGGUGUAUCUCUGCUUAGCUUCAAGUUUUUCAUUUACACUGAAAAGAGGAUAUUUUUUCAAAUUCUGACAUUAUUAAAUAAAAUCUUUGUUCCAACUUUUAUCUAAUUUAAAAUUUUAAAAACUGUAAAGGAUCGACAUAAAAUACUUUAAGUAAAUAUAUGUACCUUUUGUAUCAGGGAUUUUCAAAUCAUAACGUAAAUUUCAAUCCCCCGAAAUAAGACGAACUUCAUAUCCUAAUAAAAGUUAUGGCAUAAACAAUACAAACUUCACGAAGUUGAGAUAUUCUUUUCAAGUCUUCCUUUAUCUGGUUCACUUCAUUUUUUAAAAAAUAGUCCUAAGAACAAGCUUAGCACCAAAGUUUUUAUCCCUCCACCCUCCCAUUCUAGAUUUAAUAGUAAUCAUAUUGUCUUCAAACUCCCCCCCCCUUUUUUUUCCUUCACCUUAAACAUUAUUCUAGUGAUCCCUCUUAUUCCUAUUACAAUGAAAAUAUUAGUAAAAAAUUCUCUUUCCUUCAUUUUUAAACUUCUCCUUUUUAAUAAUUUUACAUUGAAAUUAUGAACUAGGCCCUCAAUCAAUUGACUGUUUACCAAAAACAUAGCUAAUAGAUUUCAACUACUAGUAAUACCUGCUCCA